CGGAGUGUAGCUUAAUGGUAGAGCGCUAGGCUCAUAACCUAGUCUGUGCGGGUUCAACUCCCGCCACUCCCACCA
Molecule: transfer RNA, 75 nt
Filed under: Cyanothece sp. SIO2G6
Lineage: Bacteria; Bacillati; Cyanobacteriota; Cyanophyceae; Gomontiellales; Cyanothecaceae
Description: tRNA-Ile
Rfam family: tRNA
About the family: Transfer RNA (tRNA) molecules are approximately 80 nucleotides in length.
Source: RNAcentral